GCGAUGCCAACCAAGGCUGUGCGCCCGCCCCGGGCAUUACAGGACGCAGGACCCCCUCCUCCAGAGGUCCUCAGCAAAGCACCCCCGCAUAGAUCAAUUCAUUCAUUCAACAAAUGAAUAUUUGAUGGAAGAGGCUCCAGAUGGAGGGAAGAGCCAGUGCAAUGCCUCAAAAUGGAGACAUGGUGUAUUAAUGGAGAAGCAGCAGGACUUGUGAAAGCCUGGGACGAGGGCUUGGGGUUUUAUUCUCAAUAUGAUAGAAAAUGAUUCAAGGCUGAGAGCAGGAGAGUGGCAGGAUAUACUGACUUAUUUAAAUCUCACUGUCUCCCACAAAGAACAAGUUUUAUCUCUCCUCAUGCUCCUGAGAGAAGAAUGUACUGCUUAUCUACCAUCAUUUCUGCAUCCAUCGAAACAUCUGGGUUUACCUGAAAAGAAAUUAUA
RNAcentral lists this long non-coding RNA (438 nucleotides) under Homo sapiens (human). Its description in RNAcentral is "non-protein coding lnc-SDR16C5-1:1". The record is from RNAcentral. Lineage: Eukaryota; Metazoa; Chordata; Mammalia; Primates; Hominidae.